GACGAACGCUGGCGGCGUGCUUAACACAUGCAAGUCGAACGAUAAAGAAGAGCAACGCGGACUUCGGUUCAAAUUUCACUUCGGAUUAGUGGCAGACGGAUGAGUAACGCGUGAGCAACCUACCUCUUACAAAGGGAUAGCCUCGGGAAACCGUGAUUCAUACCAUAUGACAGAUUCAUAAGGCAUCUUAAGAUUGUUAAAGCUACGGCGGUAAGAGAUGGGGUCGCGUCCCAUUAGCUAGGUGGUGCGGUAACGGCCAACCAAGGCGACGAUGGGUAACCGGGCUGAGAGGGGGAACGGUUAGAUCGGAACUGAGACCCGGUCUCCACUCGUACGGGAAGGUGGAGUGUAGAAUACUGCACAAGGAAGGGAGAUGUGAUGACGCGGCGUCGCGUGAGAGAUGAAGGAAUUCGUAUCGCAAAGCUCUGUUUUACGAGAAGAAAAUGACGGUACCAUAGGAGAAAGCCCCGGCUAAAUACGUG
RNAcentral lists this ribosomal RNA (482 nucleotides) under uncultured bacterium. RNAcentral's name for it is "partial 16S ribosomal RNA". It matches the Rfam family "Bacterial small subunit ribosomal RNA", at positions 28 to 507 of the family's 1533-position model. The record is from RNAcentral.